Molecule: ribosomal RNA, 254 nt
Filed under: uncultured bacterium
Lineage: Bacteria
Description: partial 16S ribosomal RNA
Rfam family: Bacterial small subunit ribosomal RNA
Source: RNAcentral
UACGUAGGGUGCGAGCGUUGUCCGGAAUUAUUGGGCGUAAAGGGCUCGUAGGCGGUUUGUCACGUCGGGAGUGAAAACUCAGGGCUUAACCCUGAGCCUGCUUCCGAUACGGGCAGACUAGAGGUAUGCAGGGGAGAACGGAAUUCCUGGUGUAGCGGUGAAAAUGCGCAGAUAUCAGGAGGAACACCGGUGGCGAAGGCGGUUCUCUGGGCAUUACCUGACGCUGAGGAGCGAAAGUGUGGGGAGCGAACAGG